CUGCAAUGGGUACCGUUGUCCGGGAUCCAGAGUUGGCCAGGCAGGGGUUUCGUGUAAGAUGAUGUUAACGUGUUGGACUUGCCACCUAGCUAUCAUUAUGGAACGUAUGGGGAGGAUGUCUGUGAUUGGAGAAAUCUUGUCAUUCAUUUUGACUUGAUAGUAUGGAGCAAUUGAACCCACGUGGUGUUUGGUGACCAAUGAUAUCACAUUCCCAACAGGAACUUGAAUGCCUGAGUAUCGGAUGGCCUUCACUUGUCCGAGUGGUUGUGUCGGAACAUUUUUUUUGUCUUUUGGGCAAAAUAGAUGGAGGAGAUGGACGAUCUGGUAAGACUCAGAGUUGAGAUGGAGGUUGUUCUGGUAGUGUUCUUACGAGAGAGACAGCAAAAGAUCGAAAGGUUACUAUGAUUAAGUCCGAAAGGAGGAGUGAUGAACUUGCUGUUAACUUUAGCUAUCCAUGCUCCACAACCCAUCGGGAGAUUAAUAAUUUGUUAAUAUAUUGUG
Gossypium arboreum is the source of this 501-nucleotide long non-coding RNA. RefSeq lists it as uncharacterized. The record is from RefSeq and is a predicted model, not a curated record. The transcript has 3 exons. Lineage: Eukaryota; Viridiplantae; Streptophyta; Magnoliopsida; Malvales; Malvaceae.